CAUAGAAUGCCCAUUAUAGAACUAUAGUUUGUCUAUAGUUCCAAUGGAAUGGAACAGAGGGUCAGUAAGGCAGGGAGAGGACCAACACAAUGGCACUGAUCCUCAAGAAAAUCAUUCUCAGCUUCUAAAGUUAUAAUAAUUCUCAGCUAAAGGAAGCAUACUGAACACAAGCUGCCUCCACAUGCCAGAUGGGAGAUGGCCCUUGGACUGGAUAUCAGCCGAGAGGUGAGCACACCAGAUGCUGGAGCACUCCUGGGAAGAGAAACAGAAAGAGGAGGAGGAAGGGUGCCAAAAACAAUGUCUUAUUUGGCCAUUUUUCCCUUGACCCUAAUGCUAGAAAGGAAGGAGAGAGGGAAGCUUAAAUAAUUUAUAAAAUCCUGGUGAAUUGUCAAUUAAGUAAAUCCUUUUUAAAAUUUUGUUUUCUUUUAUCUUCUUUUGUUUCUUUUCUAUUAUUUAGUCCUUUAUUACCUGCACUACACAGAUGUAAAAGUAGGUAACUUUUGAAUUAAACUAUACAGUGUGUGAUCCACGGAAAACUUACAUCAUGCUACAUUCACCUGCAAGUUUUUGGCAAAUGUGAAUUUAUUAGUCAUUGAAAUAAGCCAGAAAAAAUGAAACAUACUGGUUUUGUCUUAAGCUUCCCUAGCCCUUCUCUCUCCUUGGUUCAAAUGAGUCACUGACCUGCUCUAGUACACAUCUUGGAAUCUUCGUAACUUCAUAACUUUAUCUUUUGUGAGUUCUUUCAUGCCUGGUUUGAAACUAAGGAAGUGGAAGCAGGGAAGAUAGAAGUGGAAAAUAAUGGAAUUGCUGGAAGAAAAGAAAACUAAGAGAAGAGUCACUUACCAGGAC
Molecule: long non-coding RNA, 849 nt
Filed under: Homo sapiens (human)
Lineage: Eukaryota; Metazoa; Chordata; Mammalia; Primates; Hominidae
Description: HSALNT0301855
Source: RNAcentral